AGAUUGACAUGAUUGCAGAAUGGAGUCAAUAAAACAAAUUCCAUCUGAUAUUCAACAUAAAUUUUAAGUUUAGAAUAACAAGCUCACAAGAGCUUGGUUUUAGAUAUCACUUGGGACCACAGACUAACAGACAAAGGAACAAAGCAAAACGACUCUGCGAUUUGAUGUAGAAACUCCUGACUCCGAAGCCUGCAGCCGCCCUCCAAUUCUCAAGUCAGAAGUGUGCCAAUGAUGGUGCAGAUCCAACAACACUGGAAACGAUCUUGAGUCUAGACCAAAGCAGCCCCUUGAUUGGCACCGUAUCCAUUCUCUCCACAACCAACUCCAAGACACAAUAAUGUGUCCAUAUACAAGAUGCACUGCCACAUUUUUUUCCAACUAUUCUUACACCCGCCUUUCCAGACUUAGAAAACUCAUCUUCAAGGUCAAGGACAUCAGACAUGGUAGCACUAAUCCCAGUAAAAAUCACCUCCAAGCUACUCUCAAACUUAUUUGGAAAUGAAUGAUUGUUCCUGAGUCAAUAUUAGUAAUCUCUUUUGGAACAGCAUUGUGGGUCUGUGUACAGCAACAUGAAGCUGUUCAAGAAGUCAAUUUGUGCUGGACAAUCAGCAACAGCUAUGUCUCAUUAAAGAAUAAAUAAAUCGGAAAGAAAUCCAUCUGAGAGUCACAAGCAAAUGGGUAACUUUUUUUUGUUCACUCUGCAGCUCGUGGGCUAUUACCAAUUUUGACAAUGACAAAUGAAGCUUUUGUUUGGUUUGCUAUUGAUAGCAGCUGUCCACAAAAUAAAAACAAUUGGCAUCAGAGAUAAUGGGAACUGCAGAUGCUGGAGAAUCCAAGAUUACAAAGUGUGGAGCUGGAUGAACACAGCAGGCCAAGCAGUAUCUCAGGAGCACAAAAGCUGACGUUUCGGGCCUCGACCCUUCAUCAGAAAAGAGGGAGGAGGAGAGGGCUCUGAAAGAAAUAGGGAGAGGGGAAGGCAGAUUGAAGAUGGAUAGAGGGGAAGAUAGGUGCAGAGGAGACAGACAAGCAAUAAGGAAGGAGAGGAUCAAAUAUCAAGGUAGGCUAGCUAGUCAUAUCAGAAAUCAUAGUAACGGCUUCUUUCAAUACAUAAGAAACAAACGUGAGGCAAAAGUAGACACUGGGCCACUCCAAAUUGAUGCUGGAAGGCAAGUGGUGGGAGAUAAGGAAGUAGCUGAAGAACUUAAUAAGUACUUUGCGUCAGUCUUCACAGUGGAAGACAUGAGUAAUAUGCCAACAAUUAGGGAGAGCCAGGGGGCAGAGCUGAGGAUGGUAGGAAUUACAAAAGAGCAAGUGCUAAAAGAGCUAAAAGGUCUAAAAAUUGAUAAAUCUCCUGGCCCCAAUGGGCUAUAUCCUAGAGUUCUGAACAAGGUGGCUGAGGAAAUAGCAGAGGCUUUGGCUAUGAUCUUUCAAAAGUCAGUGUAGUUUUUUUUUGAGUGCGAGCAGCAGCGGAGGCAAGACGGACCCGGAAGACUGCAGCUAAGGUAAAGCAGUUUAUUUUUAAAAUUACUUACCGGUAGCGGGCAGCGGUGUUUUUCCUCUUUCAGAGAAGGAGCGGGAGCAGCAGAGGAAGUGACGAGGACCAGAGGGGCAGCCGGGAAGGAAAGCAGUGAGUAUAAAUACUCACCCUUCGACGCCAACGGCCAUUAUGAGUGCGAGCAGCAGCAGAGGCAAGAUGGACCCGGAAGACUGCAGCUAAGAUGCGGAUAAAGUUCUCCAAGCUGACAGAAAUUGAAAGCACUCGCAUCCUGUGACGAUGGGGUAGGAGUGGAAGAAUCAGAGUGUUUCUUUGAAAAUUGGCUUGAUGUGUCUGUCCAAGGGUCAUCUGGAGGAAAAAAUACAAGUAUAUCUUCAAACAAGUAGCUGAACCCACAGAUUUAUGUGACCAACGAAGCCUGAGCCUUUUGCUUCACGAUGCAGUCCAGAUCCCUCGGCAGCUGGGUGAGGUAGCUUCAUUUGGAGGCAGCACCAUUGAACCAAGUGUCCGCAGUUGCUUCCAACAUGCACUCAGACAUGAACUAAUGGAUAAGGAGGAGACAAUCAUAACUGCUUUGGAUUCAGCCCAUAGAAGGGCCAGAGGAGCCGCGCUGACACCUUCAUGUUUAAACAGAGGACACUUUUCUGCGUGCCACGAGAUGUAUAUCAGCCAUACCAAAAUGCUGCCUUUGCCUGAGACAGGGAAGAUCAACUGACUUUGGGGAAAUGGAGAAUCAUUCAUGAAUCCAGUUACUUUCUGAUCUGACAGCUUUGUGGCAUCUGAAUGGAUAACAAUUUGAUCUGGUAAUCUCAAUUGAUAGAGUGCAAAUGUGUAGUGAUGCAUUUUGGGAGCUCUGGUAAGUGAAAGAUGUUCACAAUGACUAGUAGAUCCCUAGAGAGCACUGAGAAACAAAGGGACCUUGAUGUCCAAAAGCAAGAGUUCAUGCCCUCUGCUUCUGGCCUUUCAGGCAAAGUUGGAUCCAACACUCCACUGAGUCUUAGAUCCCAUGAGCUCUUGUUUUGUUGACCAGUCUGCUAUCACUGACCUUAUCAAAAACAUAUAGACCACAUCAGAUGAAUUUCCCUCUUCAACACUUCUGAUAUCUCCUCAAUAAAAAUUAGAUAAAAUUUGCAAACCAUGGCAUUACCUCAACAAAGCCAUGCUGACUAUCCCCGAACAUUCCAUGUUUCUCCAAGUGCAGCGACAUUUUGUCCCUUAAAAUUCUUUCUGAUAACUUCCCUACCACCAAGGUUAGACUGGCUUGUAACUUCUGGAUCUGUCCUUUCUUCUUUUAUAUAAAAGUAUGAGCGGUCCUCUGGCACCUUAGCUGUGGCCAGAAAUGACUUGAAAAAUCUUUGCCAGGACCUUUUGAUAUCUCCUCCCCUGCUUCAUAAAGUCAUGCAGUAUAGAAACAGGCUCACUUGAUCAACAUCAAUGCCAACUAACAAACAUCAAACUACUGAUCCCAUUUACCUGCACUGAGUCAUUACCUGCCAUACCCUGGCCCUUUAAAUGCUCAUCUGUUGCUUCUUUAAUAUUGCAAGCGUAUCUGCCUUCUCCACCUUGUCAAGCAGCAUAUUACAUGUUUGUAUCACUUUUGGUGAAAACACUUGCCUCAGAUCCCCUCUAAAUAGCUGACAGUUUACCUGAAAUCUAUGCCCCCUGACUUAAACUCGUCUACUGGUUCUCACAAUCAAUCUAUGCCUCUCAUAAUUUUGUAUACGUCGAUCAGAUUUCCCCUCAGCCUCCUCUGCUGCAUGGAAAACGCAAUUAGCCUACCAGUUUCUCCUCAUAAAACUUGCAUUCAAUCACAAAACAACACCCUGAAACAUAUACUAUCAACCAACCUGGCCAACAUCUCUGUCUCCGGCUUGCUACAGUGUUCCAGUGAAGCCCAGCACAAGCAGACAGAACAACACCUCAUUUUCUACUUGGGGACCUGACAGCCCUCCAGACUUAACAUUGAGUUCUGCAAUGUUAGGGCCUAAACUCUCCCAUAUCCCAGCGCCCCCACCCCACACACCAACCCUCUGCUCUCAGUAACACUGUCUGCCCGUCACAGGGCCCUCACCCCCUCCUCUAAGUAAUACUGCCCGUCACAGGGCCCU
Molecule: long non-coding RNA, 3603 nt
Organism: Stegostoma tigrinum
Lineage: Eukaryota; Metazoa; Chordata; Chondrichthyes; Orectolobiformes; Stegostomatidae
Exons: 6
Source: RefSeq, a predicted model, not a curated record